GGGGAAGUCGGUGAAUAUACGAAAAGGUACAGUCGACUCAUGCGUUGAAAAAUGCAUGUUUUUGUGUGCCCCACCGUGCGCUGAAGGACUAAAUUUGGUACAUUUACGACACAAGACCCGCCGCAAUGAACUUCUUAUUUCCUUUGCCAAGAGCAACCCAUUUUUAGUAUGCUAGUCCUCGAAUGCGAACUCGCGGGUUUGUAAAGCAGACUGGUCUUCGGAGGGAAAACUAGGGCUGCUGGCAGCUGCAACGGAAGCACGUGCUGGACAAAAGUGUCUUCGUUUCCGGGCGCCAGCGUCGUUCCACGUGAACCACAUUGUUUCUUGUGCGCGCAUUGCAUAUGAGCAGCGCUCCUCCCAAGUAUUUAGCGCUUUACCCUAAAGAAGGAGUAGCUGUAGUCUUUGAAGUUUAUCCUCUUCGUGACACUGCUAGCCUCGAAUCCGAAGUGUGGAAAGGAGGCCACCCGUUUACUCGAACAUUGGAAGAACAUCUUAGCGAGUGCUGGUACAGUUGUGAGUGGGAGGGGCUGGAAAUAUUGCUCGCUAGUGCAUGGUAGUCAUGACCAUUUUCGGCGAACACCUUCCGGACAACAGGCUGUUCCGCAGUCACGGUUUUCCUGUCAUGUUUCCACACAAUAUCGCAUCUGGGUGGCUCUGUUGGAUCUGUGGUUGCGAUUGAAAGGUAGAAGGGACAAGAGGGUAGCGCGUGCUUCGUGUACUUGAAACGUCAUCAGUGAACCAGCCUAGGAGGCCUACCUCUCAGCCACAACGGAUUGACCCGAGGAGGUCAAUAUGAACACGGGAUUAUAUGCUUGCAGCUACCAUGUCUCCCCUCUGCAGAAUAGGUCCACGAGAAGGACGUUCUCGUAUAGAGCACGUCGAACUUCGGUGUGUGAUGCCCUGUCUGUGAACCCCAACCAAUGCUGUGGCAGCACUGAAAAAGAAUAUCACUGUCGUUGUCGAUGAGCGUAUUAAUGUGUUGUUUCUCCCCCGGCUUCCCUGCUGUGUGGUCGAGGGCAUCAUUUGAAGACGAAAAGCAUGUUUCUAGAGACACGUGCGUUACUUUUGAAACCUCUCCCGGAAAAGCAGGCUUUUCCAACUGUACGGAUGUCGCGUGGGGCUCGCACUGCGGAACAUCCGUCUCUCUUGUGUAUGGACAAUGGAUUGCGGCGUGUCGUUCGGCCGCAUACCAGUCAGUUCUCUAAGCUGCCGCUGAUAAACAGUGUUCAGGUCCCCGGCGGGCAUUCAUGACACGGCUGCAGGAAUGACAGUUAUGGCGAUAAGCGGGCUUCAGUAGCCAUGCAAGAAGGCAAAAAUCUUAAACCUGUUCUUGUCCUGUACAACACACAUAUCAGGAUAUGUACUUGAAAUUGUUACAAGCAACGUGGGACCUAAUCGGAGGACCGAAGUGAAUUCAUGGCGCAAGCGCAUCAAGGGCAUGUGGGGGUUGUGGGCGGCUACUAUUGGAGGGAUUAUGGAUGACAGUUAAGGAAUACGCUACAUGUUAAGUCACGUUGGCCCCAACAUUGUCAGAUUUUUGUAGGUACCGGAUGAUAGAACGGGGGAUACUGUUUGGGGCGCCAAAAAAUAAAGUGGCCGGACAAAAUGUGUGUCCAACAAGCGACGACUUCCUCUGUAGAAAAUGUGGUAAGUGUUUAAACAGCAGCAACACUCACACUGGUUCGUGUUUUACCCCGGAAGCACCCGACGGCCUCGCUUAUUUGUCAUUCAGAAUUUCACUGAAAGUAACUGGACUGUUGUUCACGUGCGUGUUGUGCGGAAACGACAGACAUGUAGUAUUAUUGCCGUAGUACCGGUGACCCUUAACGCACGAUACUGACUGUAAUCGACAGAAAAGCAACACAUACAUUGUCCCCUUGCAGCCGCAUGUGCCGAAAAAGCUGUUAGCACCACUGCCAUGCUGCCGUAAUGGGGUAUCUAGAUUCCCGACCCCCGUGGCAGCAAACAGAACAAGGAGCCCCUUGGCAACCCACAGAGUACGACAAACAAAUCCUGUUUCGACAUCUUCGAGUGCACUUCGUUUUUUUGAGAGAGUCCUCAGACCAGUAACCACU
This 2075-nucleotide long non-coding RNA is filed under the name Toxoplasma gondii VEG. Lineage: Eukaryota; Apicomplexa; Conoidasida; Eucoccidiorida; Sarcocystidae. The record is from RNAcentral.